Long non-coding RNA from Apis dorsata (giant honeybee), 667 nucleotides. RefSeq lists it as uncharacterized. The record is from RefSeq and is a predicted model, not a curated record. NCBI's taxonomy places the organism in Eukaryota, Metazoa, Arthropoda, Insecta, Hymenoptera, Apidae. The transcript has 2 exons.
AGAACCUGUCUGACAGCACUUCCAUGAACAGAAUGACCAUUUUCUGGAUUAGUGUUUGCACUAUGUCCUGCCAGUACAGGUUUUCCAUCUUCUAAAUUUAAAUCUUUCCUGCAACAAAAUAAUUAAUCUUUUUGCCAUAGUGUUCGUUUUAUGAAUCUUUUGCUGCCGUUUUUCCAAAACGAGACAGUAUUAAAAUAAAAUAAAAUAUUUAUAAUGUUAUAUCACAGUUUCUAUUUUAAUCACAAUUAUAUAUUUAUUAUGAGAAAAAAUUUGCACAUCAUUGCCUUUUUUCCUUUUUCUUUUCUUUCUUCCUCUUUUUGUUUUCUUGUCGUCUUUGUUUUUCUUUUUGAUCUCCGUCUUUCUUUCUUUCUUUCUUUCUCAAGAUCACUUGUAUUCGUUACCCCUAACGAAGUCUCACAAGAUCACGUAAUGUUUUUGGGAAUAGCUUUCGUUCUCUCAAGAAACUCUUGAAAUUCCAAUUAUAUACCCUAUUUUGUAGAAUCCCAUUUGUAUUUUUUUCCAUGGACAAUACAUAUACACUGAACGUUUUAAUUGUUUCCUUGUUUUCUUAUUCUUUUUUUAUCAUGAAUUUUUUUUAGAAAAAUUCUUUGACGAAAAUUAGGAUUAGAUGAAGAAAGAUAGUCACAAUGAAUACAAAUAAAAAAAA